Molecule: ribosomal RNA, 301 nt
Filed under: uncultured bacterium
Lineage: Bacteria
Description: partial 16S ribosomal RNA
Rfam family: Bacterial small subunit ribosomal RNA
Source: RNAcentral
CAGUCGCCGCGGUAAUACGGAGGGUGCGAGCGUUAAUCGGAAUUACUGGGCGUAAAGCGUACGCAGGCGGUUUGUUAAGUCAGAUGUGAAAUCCCCGAGCUUAACUCGGGAACUGCAUUUGAAACUGGCAGGCUAGAGUCUCGUAGAGGGGGGUAGAAUUCCAGGUGUAGCGGUGAAAUGCGUAGAGAUCUGGAGGAAUACCGGUGGCGAAGGCGGCCCCCUGGACGAAGACUGACGCUCAGGUACGAAAGCGUGGGGAGCAAACAGGAUUAGAUACCCCAGUAGUCCCUGUCUCUUAUAC